UACAGAGGGGGCAAGCGUUGUUCGGAAUUACUGGGCGUAAAGGGUUCGUAGGUGGCUGGCUAAGUCAGACGUGAAAUCCCUCAGCUUAACUGGGGAACUGCGUCUGAGACUGGCGAGCUUGAGUGCAGGAGAGGAACGCGGAAUUCCAGGUGUAGCGGUGAAAUGCGUAGAUAUCUGGAGGAACACCGGUGGCGAAGGCGGCGUUCUGGACUGUAACUGACACUGAGGAACGAAAGCCAGGGUAGCAAACGGG
Molecule: ribosomal RNA, 253 nt
Filed under: uncultured bacterium
Lineage: Bacteria
Description: partial 16S ribosomal RNA
Rfam family: Bacterial small subunit ribosomal RNA
Source: RNAcentral